CCUAGUUGCCAGCAUUCAGUUGGGCACUCUAAGGAGACUGCCCGGUGUCAAACCGGAGGAAGGUGGGGAUGACGUCAAGUCCUCAUGGCCCUUAUGUCCAGGGCUACACACGUGCUACAAUGGCCGGUACAAAGGGGCGCAAGACCGCGAGGUGGAGCAAAUCCCAAAAAACCGGUCUCAGUUCGGAUUGGAGUCUGCAACUCGACUCCAUGAAGUUGGAAUCGCUAGUAAUCGCGUAUCAGCAUGACGCGGUGAAUACGUUCCCGGGCCUU
RNAcentral lists this ribosomal RNA (272 nucleotides) under uncultured Desulfuromonas sp. Its description in RNAcentral is "partial 16S ribosomal RNA". It matches the Rfam family "Bacterial small subunit ribosomal RNA", at positions 1110 to 1382 of the family's 1533-position model. The record is from RNAcentral. Lineage: Bacteria; Pseudomonadati; Thermodesulfobacteriota; Desulfuromonadia; Desulfuromonadales; Desulfuromonadaceae.